This is a long non-coding RNA of Vulpes vulpes (red fox), 1547 nucleotides long. NCBI's taxonomy places the organism in Eukaryota, Metazoa, Chordata, Mammalia, Carnivora, Canidae. The record is from Ensembl.
CUACUUACUGCUAUGUAAGUGUAAACCCCUAUUGUCUCUACUGUUGUUAUUACUGAAUCAGAAUCCCUAAGGGUAUGAUCUGGAUGUUUCUGGUUUGGAAGAGCUGCUCAGGAGAUUCCGAUUUGCAUGCUUGGUUCAGAACCAACUGUCUCUUGGAUUGUCUGUUUCAUAGAUAUGAGAAAACGUGAAGUGCAGUGGGACCUGAUUAACCAGGAAGAGCACAGGUUUCUGGGAUCCAAUUCUCACUGGCAAACUCAUUCAGCUUGGCUUGCCAUCUUCCUCCUCCUCCUACCGCUAACAGUCUUGGGUCUCACUUCCUAUGAGGGCACCAGCUCCUCUUCUUGCAGGGGCUGAAAGUGAGCAAGGAAGAGCUCCAGGGAUGAAGGAGACGAGGGAGGGAUGUGUGGGUGCAAUCCACCCACCGCCUAACUAGCUACUGAGAAAUAGUGAGCUGGCGGCUGUGAGAGCUCUGGGGGCUGCUGAGCCUUCCAAGGGUUUACCAAGAUGGGACAAAUCUAAUGAGAAGAAAGUUACAGCAAAGCUUAUUGAACAAUAACCCAUUUCUUUCAUUUAGAAACAAUGAAGACACAUUUUUCUCACUUCCAUAGCACAAGGAAGACAAUAUCAGUGAUUUGUGCUGCCUGGUUAUCCAGUCUCUUUACCAACUUGGCUUAUUUGCUUGCUGCGAGAUAUGAACACUUAGGGCUGAAUGUGGCUCUCUUCUCUCUGGCCCAGUAAACUGAACAUGUAUGUCCAUUUAACUGCAGAACCAAACGAGCACAGUGGCAUAGAGCAACCACUAGGAAGAGGUGCGUGUGAAGGGGGAAGUAGAGGGGGAAAUGGGGGGCAGGAAGGAAUGAGCACUAUCAGGAUGGAGGCCUGGAAAGGACCUCAGGGGUCAGCCCCGGAAGAUGGGGGCUCAUGGUCUUCUUCCUUAGAGGGCCUGGCUGAGAGAUCUCAGCAGAAUACAGUCUCAGCUUUGGGACCACGGUUCUACCGCUGGAGGCCAUCCCAUCUGGCUGCAGGUGUAGACGCGUGUAUCAGGCUUACUUUCCGCACACUGACAGCACUUUAUUUUAAGAUGUCUUGGUUUCCACAAGCUGGAGCUAAGAAGGGAAGUCUGAGUCCCUCCUGACACCCGGGCUUCCAUGACUGCUUGGAUGUCUUCACCAGCAAGGUGCUUUUGGCCUCAUCACCUAUGCCAGUCCCGAAGCUUUCCACAGAAACCACACUGAAAUUGGUGACAAAAAUAGUCAGGGGUCCCUCAAAAAGCAGGCACUGGGGGUUCACAGUAGGCCAUCACCCACAGGGAAACAAUGUUCUCUUCCUCAAACCAUGUCCCUGGGCCAAAGUCUCUAUCCUCUGUGACAGGCCAGUAUUCUGCCUCUGUAAAUAAUCACCCAACUCCUUGGAAGAUAAAGCUGCACGAUCAGAGUGGGAGGAACUCCAGGACCAAAUUCAAUAAGGGGGUAGUAAACUGAUAGCUUUGCCACUGAGCAUAGUUUGCUUUGGGUCAAUAAAUGGAUUUGGUUUCCAAAAAAAAGUCA